RNAcentral lists this ribosomal RNA (625 nucleotides) under Providencia rettgeri. RNAcentral's name for it is "partial 23S ribosomal RNA". It matches the Rfam family "Bacterial large subunit ribosomal RNA", at positions 566 to 1190 of the family's 2925-position model. The record is from RNAcentral. Lineage: Bacteria; Pseudomonadati; Pseudomonadota; Gammaproteobacteria; Enterobacterales; Morganellaceae.
ACAAGCAGUGAAUGUGCUUUGGGGUGGGGUGACUGCGUACCUUUUGUAUAAUGGGUCAGCGACUUAUAUUCUGUAGCAAGGUUAACCGUAUAGGGGAGCCGUAGGGAAACCGAGUCUUAACUGGGCGAAUGAGUUGCAGGGUAUAGACCCGAAACCCGGUGAUCUAGCCAUGGGCAGGUUGAAGGUUGGGUAACACUAACUGGAGGACCGAACCGACUAAUGUUGAAAAAUUAGCGGAUGACUUGUGGCUGGGGGUGAAAGGCCAAUCAAACCGGGAGAUAGCUGGUUCUCCCCGAAAGCUAUUUAGGUAGCGCCUCGUGAACUCAUCUUCGGGGGUAGAGCACUGUUUCGACUAGGGGGUCAUCCCGACUUACCAACUCGAUGCAAACUACGAAUACCGAAGAAUGUUAUCACGGGAGACACACGGCGGGUGCUAACGUUCGUCGUGAAGAGGGAAACAACCCAGACCGCCAGCUAAGGUCCCAAAGUCAUAGUUAAGUGGGAAACGAAGUGGGAAGGCUCAGACAGCCAGGAUGUUGGCUUAGAAGCAGCCAUCAUUUAAAGAAAGCGUAAUAGCUCACUGGUCGAGUCGGCCUGCGCGGAAGAUGUAACGGGGCUAAACUAU